Molecule: long non-coding RNA, 1250 nt
Filed under: Malus domestica (apple)
Lineage: Eukaryota; Viridiplantae; Streptophyta; Magnoliopsida; Rosales; Rosaceae
Description: long non-coding RNA (MDOM_LNC015528)
Source: RNAcentral
GCGUGGCGCUCUUUGAGCUCCGCGACUGAUAUUGCUUGAAAUUCGAGCUUAGGAUUCAGUCAUGGAGUGGAAGUCCAAAGAGGCUUCCAAUUCAAAGUGAAAUUUAUCAUUUGCAUUUCUGCUACUGGGAUUUCAAUUGGAAAUUCGAAUUCACUGGUGCAAAAAUUAUCUUAACACACAAAUUUAACCCUCUUUUGACAAUUGUAGUACAAGUAUAAGUAGGGAUCGUUCUGGACCGGGGAUUAGGAGGGCUUGCUAAUAACCUCUAAACUAACUCAAAAACAUAAAACUAAAUUUAAAAACACUUAACAAGACUCACAAGACUCAAAGCAAACUUAAAAUACUCAAAACAGCUUAAAACAACUAAAAAACUUAAACUAGACACUAGGAAUGACUUUGGACGAAAAUUGACUUUUACUUGAAUCAAAACAUUUAAAAACACAAAUUAAAAUAGAUUCUAACUAAUUAGACACACUCAAGUAAAGGGGGAUUGAAUUUUGGACGAAGUUGAAACAAACAAACAAGUAUGAAAAACUAGACAGAUUGUAAAACAAAUUUAAGAAAUAAGAUGAUGGAUGGGAUAGCUAGAGGCUUUUUCUCCACACAUGAUAUGUAUGCAAACAACUCGAUUUCCAGUUACUACUUCAUUGAAUUAUGAAUGACAAUGCUCCAAAUUAACCGUGACAUCACUAAUUAACUUUCAGAUUUUCCUUGUUUUAUUGGAUUGGAUGACAUCAUUCGACAACCCAAAACAUUCUUCUAAAGUUCCCUACAUGACAUCAUAAGAGAGAUACAAUCAAAGAUCAUUACGUUUAAUAAAAAUCAUAAGCAUUGACAAAGCACUUGCAACUAUGACAUCAUGUCACUCAUGUAAGGAAUUGAACUUAACGCGAUCGUUUAUAAGCGACCUUCACUACAUGUGAGUAUAAGUUUGUAACGAUUAUGUGAAACUUCCUUAUAUUCUGGCAACGGAUUUAUACAUGCUAAUUAAGUGUCGACCCUUAAUUAACAAAUACAAAUAAGUUAUCAAUCACAUAGUUAAGCCAAUUUCAUUCACGAUUCAAGAGUUCAUAACUGGAAUUUAUCAAAUUAUAUUGCACACAUAAUCAUGGCUUUGAAAUCACCCCUAGCCAAGAGGGGUUUAGCCACUCAUAUUUACAACAAAACGAAAGGAAAUGAAUUUAAACAUUAGAAACAAAAGAAAGACAACACCUAAACGCUCCAACGAUCCAAUUUGGACAGCAAGCACG